Non-coding RNA from Bos taurus (domestic cattle), 73 nucleotides. The record is from Rfam. Lineage: Eukaryota; Metazoa; Chordata; Mammalia; Artiodactyla; Bovidae.
UCCUUGGCAGUCUGGUGGUUAGGACUCUGCACUUUCACUGGGGGGAAUCUGGGUUCGAACCCUGGUCAGGGAA